GUCUCAGGCCGGAUCAGCCUGAAGGCGCCCGAUCUACGUCUGAUCUCGGAAGCUAAGCAGGGUCGGGCCUGGUUAGGAUCUUGGAUGGGAGACCACCUGGGAAUCCCGGGUGCUCGAGGCU
RNAcentral lists this ribosomal RNA (121 nucleotides) under Bison bison bison. Lineage: Eukaryota; Metazoa; Chordata; Mammalia; Artiodactyla; Bovidae. The record is from RNAcentral.